AUGGUUGUGAAGCUAAUAAAUGGCGGAUGGGAGGUGAUCUACUUUGUUGGCGAGCAUAACCAUCCGUUGCUUGACAAGCCAUGUUUGACUAAGUAUUUGCGAUCACACCAAGGGAUCCCAGCAGAAGAAAGGACCUUCCUUACUCAUCUUCAUAACUGCAAUUUGACUACAGCAGAAGAAUUGGGGGAUGCAGCAUUUAGAAGGGGUGUCACGCCUCGAACUCACACUCUUAUUUGGGAGCACGAGCGAUAUGUGCAGGUUGGGGGUGGGGGCGAUUGGCACUCUCUUUUUUUCCGGGUGGAUUGGCACUUUUAUGGGAGGGAUGGAAUUCAGCUAGCACCUCCUCCUCCAUGA
RNAcentral lists this ribosomal RNA (354 nucleotides) under Triticum aestivum (bread wheat). RNAcentral describes it as "partial small subunit ribosomal RNA". Lineage: Eukaryota; Viridiplantae; Streptophyta; Magnoliopsida; Poales; Poaceae. The record is from RNAcentral.